Molecule: ribosomal RNA, 839 nt
Filed under: Levilactobacillus namurensis
Lineage: Bacteria; Bacillati; Bacillota; Bacilli; Lactobacillales; Lactobacillaceae
Description: bacterial SSU rRNA
Rfam family: Bacterial small subunit ribosomal RNA
Source: RNAcentral
UUCCCGUUGAUUGACGUGCUUGCACUGAUUUCAACAUUGGAACGAGUGGCGAACUGGUGAGUAACACGUGGAAAACCUGCCCAGAAGCAGGGGAUAACACUUGGAAACAGGUGCUAAUACCGUAUAACAACAAAAACCGCAUGGUUUUUGUUUGAAAGGUGGCUUCGGCUAUCACUUCUGGAUGGUUCCGCGGCGCAUUAGCUUGUUGGUGGGGUAACGGCUCACCAAGGCGAUGAUGCGUAGCCGACCUGAGAGGGUAAUCGGCCACAUUGGGACUGAGACACGGCCCAGACUCCUACGGGAGGCAGCAGUAGGGAAUCUUCCACAAUGGACGCAAGUCUGAUGGAGCAAUGCCGCGUGAGUGAAGAAGGGUUUCGGCUCGUAAAACUCUGUUGUUGAAGAAGAACGGGUGUCAGAGUAACUGUUGACAUCGUGACGGUAUUCAACCAGAAAGCCACGGCUAACUACGUGCCAGCAGCCGCGGUAAUACGUAGGUGGCAAGCGUUGUCCGGAUUUAUUGGGCGUAAAGCGAGCGCAGGCGGUUUCUUAAGUCUGAUGUGAAAGCCUUCGGCUUAACCGAAGAAGUGCAUCGGAAACUGGGGAACUUGAGUGCAGAAGAGGACAGUGGAACUCCAUGUGUAGCGGUGGAAUGCGUAGAUAUAUGGAAGAACACCAGUGGCGAAGGCGGCUGUCUAGUCUGCAACUGACGCUGAGGCUCGAAAGCAUGGGUAGCGAACAGGAUUAGAUACCCUGGUAGUCCAUGCCGUAAACGAUGAGUGCUAGGUGUUGGAGGGUUUCCGCCCUUCAGUGCCGCAGCUAACGCAUUAAGCACUCCGCCU